GUGGGGAAUAUUGGACAAUGGGCGAAAGCCUGAUCCAGCCAUGCCGCGUGUGUGAAGAAGGUCUUCGGAUUGUAAAGCACUUUAAGUUGGGGGGAAGGGUAGUAACCUAAUACGUUGCUACUUUGACGUUACCGACAGAAUAAGCACCGGCUAACUUCGUGCCAGCAGCCGCGGUAAUACGAAGGGUGCAAUCGUUAAUCGGAAUUACUGGGCGUAAAGCGCGCGUAGGUGGUUCAGUAAGUUGGAAGUGAAAUCCCCGGGCUCAACCUGGUAACUGCUUUCAAAACUGCUGAGCUAGAGUACGGUAGAGGGUGGUGGAAUUUCCUGUGUAGCGGUGAAAUGCGUAGAUAUAGGAAGGAACACCAGUGGCGAAGGCGACCACCUGGACUGAUACUGACACUGAGGUGCGAAAGCGUGGGGAGCAAACAGGAUUAGAAACCCGGGUAGUCC
Molecule: ribosomal RNA, 450 nt
Filed under: uncultured bacterium
Lineage: Bacteria
Description: partial 16S ribosomal RNA
Rfam family: Bacterial small subunit ribosomal RNA
Source: RNAcentral